This 682-nucleotide ribosomal RNA is filed under the name uncultured Staphylococcus sp. RNAcentral describes it as "bacterial SSU rRNA". It matches the Rfam family "Bacterial small subunit ribosomal RNA", at positions 68 to 733 of the family's 1533-position model. The record is from RNAcentral. Lineage: Bacteria; Bacillati; Bacillota; Bacilli; Caryophanales; Staphylococcaceae.
AACAGACGAGGAGCUUGCUCCUCUGACGUUAGCGGCGGACGGGUGAGUAACACGUGGAUAACCUACCUAUAAGACUGGGAUAACUUCGGGAAACCGGAGCUAAUACCGGAUAAUAUAUUGAACCGCAUGGUUCAAUAGUGAAAGACGGUUUUGCUGUCACUUAUAGAUGGAUCCGCGCCGCAUUAGCUAGUUGGUAAGGUAACGGCUUACCAAGGCAACGAUGCGUAGCCGACCUGAGAGGGUGAUCGGCCACACUGGAACUGAGACACGGUCCAGACUCCUACGGGAGGCAGCAGUAGGGAAUCUUCCGCAAUGGGCGAAAGCCUGACGGAGCAACGCCGCGUGAGUGAUGAAGGUCUUCGGAUCGUAAAACUCUGUUAUUAGGGAAGAACAAAUGUGUAAGUAACUAUGCACGUCUUGACGGUACCUAAUCAGAAAGCCACGGCUAACUACGUGCCAGCAGCCGCGGUAAUACGUAGGUGGCAAGCGUUAUCCGGAAUUAUUGGGCGUAAAGCGCGCGUAGGCGGUUUUUUAAGUCUGAUGUGAAAGCCCACGGCUCAACCGUGGAGGGUCAUUGGAAACUGGAAAACUUGAGUGCAGAAGAGGAAAGUGGGAUUCCAUGUGUAGCGGUGAAAUGCGCAGAGAUAUGGAGGAACACCAGUGGCGAAGGCGACUUUCUGGU